Molecule: long non-coding RNA, 378 nt
Filed under: Gallus gallus (chicken)
Lineage: Eukaryota; Metazoa; Chordata; Aves; Galliformes; Phasianidae
Source: RNAcentral
CACUGAGAGUGCUACGUGCAGGAUCAGGUCAUUUCCAACUCAGUAGACAUAAUGCUUGUCAGCUGUGUUAUCUUUUUCUCUUUUACACUUUUCCUCUUCUUGUAGAUAAAAUAGCCUACAGAAGAAAUUACUAAAGAGGCUGGAGACAAAAAUAUGCCACUAAUGUGAGUUUCCAUGGAAAUAAAUCGGAGGCAUUACUUUUGGAGCAACUAUGCGGCCCAAGAUAAUUUGUCUUGACUCAGUGUGAUCCAGGCAAGCCAAAAGGUUGCACACCCAUGAAAUAAGCCAAGAAAGUACAUGGACUGCAAGAAAAUUCUUUUUGGUCUACUGACAUCCCUGUUUAAUUAAUAAGUGCUGUCACACAUUCAGCAAGCACGC